RNAcentral lists this long non-coding RNA (615 nucleotides) under Marmota monax (woodchuck). The record is from RNAcentral. Lineage: Eukaryota; Metazoa; Chordata; Mammalia; Rodentia; Sciuridae.
GUGACCAAAAUAUCUGACAAGAAUUUAGAAGAGGAAAAGUUUACUUUGGGCUCACAGUUACAGAGACUCAGUCCAUGGUUGUCCGGCUCCAUUGCUGUGGGCCUGAGGUGAGGCAAAACAUCAUGGUGGAAGGAGUGGCAGAGGAAAGCUGCUCAGCUCUUGGCAGCCAGGAAAGAGAAAGAGAGUGCACACUGACAGAGCCAAGGACACUCCCAACCCCCAUCGUGACCUGCUUCUUCCAGCCAGGUCCAGCCGGCCUACAGAGAGCACCCCGAGGUCCACCAUUCGCUGCUCCACUGAUGGGGUUACAGCUGUCGUGAUCAAACCCCUUCACCUCUGAACAUUCCUGCAUGGCCUAACAUGAGCUUUGGGGAACACCUCAUAUCCAAACCAUAUCACCUCCUAAAGAGGGAGUUGUAGAAAAGGUGGGCCUGUUGUUGGGGCAGCUGGAUUUAGGCAGAAAAAAAAAAUUGAAUAAAGCAGACAAAUAAAUAGCAGAGAUAACAGAAAAUGGAAUGAGAGAGCAAAAAUAUAAGUACAGAUAAGUAGCCUCCUUCCUGUGGUCCUCCUGCAACCCCCCCCCCCCACUUCUCUUUUCCCUGCCCACCUCUUCCC